GAUGAAGAACGCAGCGAAAUGCGAUAAGUAAUGUGAAUUGCAGAAUUCAGUGAAUCAUCGAAUCUUUGAACGCACAUUGCGCCCGCCAGUAUUCUGGCGGGCAUGCCUGUUCGAGCGUCAUUUCAACCAUCAAGCUCAGCUUGGUGUUGGGUGUCUGUCCCCGCCUCACCGCGGGGACUCGCCUCAAAAUCAUUGGCGGCCGGUACGUUGGCUUCGAGCGCAGCAGAAACGCGAACUCGAGGCCCGGCGGAUCGGCGACCAGAAGUCACUUCUUCACAGUUUGACCUCGGAUCAGGUAGGGAUACCCGCUGAACUUAAGCAUAUCAAUAAGCGGAGGA
This 338-nucleotide unclassified non-coding RNA is filed under the name soil metagenome. RNAcentral describes it as "partial contains 5.8S ribosomal RNA, internal transcribed spacer 2, and large subunit ribosomal RNA". The stretch from base 1 to 120 matches the Rfam family "5.8S ribosomal RNA", at positions 35 to 154 of the family's 154-position model. The record is from RNAcentral.